Molecule: ribosomal RNA, 484 nt
Filed under: uncultured bacterium
Lineage: Bacteria
Description: partial 16S ribosomal RNA
Rfam family: Bacterial small subunit ribosomal RNA
Source: RNAcentral
GACGAACGCUGGCGGUGUGCUUAACACAUGCAAGUCGAACGAUGAACCCGGAGCUUGCUCCGGCGGAUUAGUGGCGAACGGGUGAGUAACACGUGAGUAACCUGCCCUUGACUCUGGGAUAACUGCUAGAAAUGGUAGCUAAUACCGGAUACGACCCUCGGUGGCAUCACCAGGGGGUGGAAAGAAUUUCGGUCAAGGAUGGACUCGCGGCCUAUCAGCUAGUUGGUGAGGUAACGGCUCACCAAGGCGACGACGGGUAGCCGGCCUGAGAGGGUGACCGGCCACACUGGGACUGAGACACGGCCCAGACUCCUACGGGAGGCAGCAGUGGGGAAUAUUGCACAAUGGGCGCAAGCCUGAUGCAGCAACGCCGCGUGAGGGAUGACGGACUUCGGGUUGUAAACCUCUUUUAGUAGGGAAGAAGCGAAAGUGACGGUACCUGCAGAAAAAGCACCGGCUAACUACGUGCCAGCAGCCGCGGUAA